ACCUCCUCACCAUUUGAGCAAUGGGGGGACGCAGGAGGAUAGGGUAAGCGCGGUAUUGGAUAUCCGCGUCCAAGCAGUUAGGCUGGGAAAUAGGCAAAUCCGUUUCCCAUAAGGCUGAGCUGUGAUGGCGAGCGAAAUAUAGUAGCGAAGUUCCUGAUUCCACACUGCCAAGAAAAGCCUCUAGCGAGGUGAGAGGUGCCCGUACCGCAAACCGACACAGGUAGGCGAGGAGAGAAUCCUAAGGUGAUCGAGAGAACUCUCGUUAAGGAACUCGGCAAAAUGACCCCGUAACUUCGGGAGAAGGGGUGCUCUGUUAGGGUGCAAGCCCGAGAGAGCCGCAGUGAAUAGGCCCAGGCGACUGUUUAGCAAAAACACAGGUCUCUGCGAAGCCGUAAGGCGAAGUAUAGGGGCUGACGCCUGCCCGGUGCUGGAAGGUUAAGAGGAGCGCUUAGCGUAAGCGAAGGUGCGAAUUGAAGCCCCAGUAAACGGCGGCCGUAACAAUAACGGUCCUAAGGUAGCGAAAUUCCUUGUCGGGUAAGUUCCGACCCGCACGAAAGGCGCAACGAUCUGGGCACUGUCUCAACGAGAGACUCGGUGAAAUUAUAGUACCUGUGAAGAUGCAGGUUACCCGCGACAGGACGGAAAGACCCCGUGGAGCUUUACUGCAGCCUGAUAUUGAAUGUUGGUACAGCUUGUACAGGAUAGGUAGGAGCCUUGGAAACCGGAGCGCCAGCUUCGGUGGAGGCAUCGGUGGGAUACUACCCUGGCUGUAUUGACCUUCUAACCCGCCGCCCUUAUCGGGCGGGGAGACAGUGUCAGGUGGGCAGUUUGACUGGGGCGGUCGCCUCCUAAAAGGUAACGGAGGCGCCCAAAGGUUCCCUCAGAAUGGUUGGAAAUCAUUCGCAGAGUGUAAAGGCACAAGGGAGCUUGACUGCGAGACCUACAAGUCGAGCAGGGACGAAAGUCGGGCUUAGUGAUCCGGUGGUUCCGCAUGGAAGGGCCAUCGCCCAACGGAUAAAAGCUACCCCGGGGAUAACAGGCUUAUCUCCCCCAAGAGUCCACAUCGACGGGGAGGUUUGGCACCUCGAUGUCGGCUCAUCGCAUCCUGGGGCUGUAGUCGGUCCCAAGGGUUGGGCUGUUCGCCCAUUAAAGCGGUACGCGAGCUGGGUUCAGAACGUCGUGAGACAGUUCGGUCCCUAUCCGUCGCGAGCGCAGGAAAUUUGAGAGGAGCUGUCCUUAGUACAAGAGGACCGGGAUGGACGCACCGCUGGUGUACCAGUUGUUCUGCCAAGGGCAUCGCUGGGUAGCUAUGUGCGGACGGGAUAAGUGCUGAAAGCAUCUAAGCAUGAAGCCCCCCUCAAGAUGAGAUUUCCCAUUCCGCAAGGAAGUAAGAUCCCUGAAAGAUGAUCAGGUUGAUAGGUCUGAGGUGGAAGUGUGGCGACACAUGGAGCUGACAGAUACUAAUCGAUCGAGGACUUAACC
RNAcentral lists this ribosomal RNA (1482 nucleotides) under metagenome. RNAcentral describes it as "bacterial LSU rRNA". It matches the Rfam family "Bacterial large subunit ribosomal RNA", at positions 1446 to 2925 of the family's 2925-position model. The record is from RNAcentral.